UUUUGACCUCGAAUCAGGUGGGACUACCCGCUGAACUUAAGCAUAUCAAUAAGCGGAGGAAAAGAAACUAACAAGGAUUCCCCUAGUAACGGCGAGUGAAGUGGGAUGAGCUCAAAUUUAAAAUCUGGUAGUCUUUGGCUGCCCGAGUUGUAAUCUAGAGAAGUGUUUUCUGUGCUGGACUGUGUUCAAGUUUCCUGGAUAUGGAACAUCAUAGAGGGUGAGAAUCCCGUCUUUGGCACAGACUCCCAGUGCUCUGUGAUGCACUCUCAACGAGUCGAGUUGUUU
Molecule: ribosomal RNA, 285 nt
Filed under: Hydnum alboluteum
Lineage: Eukaryota; Fungi; Basidiomycota; Agaricomycetes; Cantharellales; Hydnaceae
Description: partial 28S ribosomal RNA
Rfam family: Eukaryotic large subunit ribosomal RNA
Source: RNAcentral